GGCACGGGGACCCACCAGCUUGUCUGCCGCCAUCUGGGGUACAGUGCUGGAAGCGGGGAUACAGGGACAAAUAAGACACAGAUCCUGUUCCUAAAGAGUUUUUUGAGAUGAAGUCUCGUUCUUGUCCCCCAGGCUGGAGUGCAAUGGCAUGAUCUCAGCUCACUGCAACCUCUGCCUCCCGGGUUCAAGCAAUUCUCCUGUCUCAGCCUCCUGAGUAGCUGGAUUACAGAGUCUUUUCUAAGGCACCAACUACUUCCUUCAAGCAGCAGCCAGAGAUCUUUGCUUAAUGGCUGAGAAACACAGAGGAGAGACCCAGAGAGAAGGAGAAGGCCGCAUGAAGAUGGAGCAGAGACUGGAGUUAUUCAGCCAAGUCAAGGAAUGCCUGGAGCACCAGAAGCCGGAAGAGGCAAGGAAGGAUCCUCCCUUAGAGCAUUUGGAAGAGUGUGGCCCUGCCAACACCUUGACUUCAAACUUCUGGCCUCCAUAACUAUGAAAUAAAUUCUUGUUGUUUUAAGCCA
This 518-nucleotide long non-coding RNA is filed under the name Homo sapiens (human). RNAcentral describes it as "HSALNT0292955". The record is from RNAcentral. Lineage: Eukaryota; Metazoa; Chordata; Mammalia; Primates; Hominidae.